UACGCCUGUUACAUAGCCUCAGAACAGGAUUUGCCGUACUUCAGGUUCUUUACCAAAGUACAGUAAAUAUUCAAUUAGUCUGUCCAAUAGUCAGUUUCUUUUAAUAGCUGUGAAUAAAAAUGAAAAUAAAGCAUGCAUGAGCUUGAGGAAUCAAACUGAUGAGAUACACAUUUUCUAAUGAUUGCAGUUUCACUACUAGUGUGUGUAGAUAAAUAGGUUGUGUAUAGGCUAGUGACGUACUUUUAUAAAUACAUUUUCUGCUUCUCUCUGUUUUUUUAAAUUACAUUUAUCACAAAAUGCUUCUGCACACCACCUCUUGGCCAAAUCUCAAGUUUUAUUGCUGUUGACAUUUUAAUUUAAGACUUUCACCUUUGGUUUUGGUCUCAUCUAUAACUACACCCCCAUGCGUGACACACUGGACAAUAGUGUCUACCUGGGCAUACAUGAAAGCAUUCUUUUACCACUUAAAAUUUGUAUUCCGUUGUAGCAACAAGGUAAAGCCAACAAUAGCGGAAGGUAUGCUAAUACAGCUGUGAAAAACGCUGCUCACUGAACACUGAAAUAAACCAUUUUAAUGCGUUUAAAUAAUACCUCAAAGAUUUGUUAUUUGUGCACAAAGAUCUAAUUUCUCUGAGAUUUUGCCCACAAAUUUGUUUAUAUCACUGUUAGCUAGCAUUUCUCCUUUGUCAAGAUAAUCCAUCUCCUGCACAGGUGUGGCAUAUCAAGAUGCUGAUUAAAAGCCAUGAUCACUACACAGGUGUUCCUUAUGAUGGGGUCAAUAAAAGGCCACCCUAAAACGUUGAGUUUUUUGUUGUUCAACACCAUCUUACAGAUGCCUCAAGAGUUAAGAAAUCAUGCAGUUGGCAUGCUGACUGCAGGUAUGUCCUGUAGAGCUGUUGCCAGAGUAAUGGGUGUUCAUUUCUCCACCAUAAACCGCCUCCAGCGUUGUUUCAGAGAUUUUGGAAGUUCGUCCAACAGGCCUCACGACCGCAGACCACGUGUAACUACGCCAGACCAGGACCGCCACAUCCGGCGUCUUUACCUGCGGGAUCGUCUGAGGCCAGCUAAACGGACAGCCGAUGAAACAGUUGGUUUACACAACCGUAGAAUUUCUGCACAAACUGUCAGAAAUCGCCUCUGGGAAGCUCAUCUGCGUGCUCAACGUCCUCACCGAGGUCUUGAUUUUUCUGCAGUUCGGUGUCACUAUCGACGUGAGUGGGCGAGAGCUCACCUUUGAUGGCCACUGGCACACUGGAGAAUGGUCCCCUUCACUGAUGAAUCACGGUUUCAGCUGUCUGGGCAGAUGGCAGGCAGCGUGUAUGGUGUCGGGUGGGUGAGCGGUUUGCUGAUGUCAACGUUGUGAACAGAGUGGCCCAUGGUGGUGCUGGGGUGUUGGUAUGAGCAAGCAUAUCCUAUGGGCAGAGAAUUCAAGUGCAUUUUAUCCAUGGCAAUUUGAAUACACAGAGAUAUUGUGAUGAGAUCCUGAGGCCCAUUGCUGCCAUUCAUUCACCACCAUCACCUCAUGUUUCAGCAUGACAAUGCGUGGCCCCAUGUUGCAAGGAUCUGUACACAAUUCCUUGAAGCUGAAAAUGUAACAGUUCUUCCAUGGCCUGUAUACUCACCAGACAUUCACCCAUUGAGCAUGUUUGGGAUGCUCUGGACCGGCACAUACGAGUGCGUGUUCCAUUUCCCACCAAUAUCCAACAACUUUGUUCAACUAUUGAAGAGGAGUGGGAUAAUAAUCCCACAGGCUACAGUCAACAAUUUCAUCAAUUCAAUGCAAAGGAGAUGUGUUGCGUUGCAUGAGGCAAAUGGUGGUCACACAGGAUACUGAUUGGUAUUCUGUUCAUGGUAUCUUCUUUUUUGGGGAAUCUGUGACUAACAAAUGCAUAUCUGUAUCCCCAAUCACAUGAAAUCAAUAGAUAAGUGCUUAAUGAAUAUAUUUCACUUGACUGAUUUACGUUUAUUACCUUUGAACUCAAUAAAAAUUGAUAAGAGUUGCAUUUAUAUUUUUGUUCAGUGUAAACAAAAAUGCCCUGACUUUGUAUAAUAGGCUAUAAAGUAAAAAACUGAACUGUUACCAUAUUAACUAUACUACGCUAACCAGAGCAGUUGGUAAGCUAUUCUUGGAUAACGCUUUGCGCUCUGCAUAACACAAAUCCAGCAUUCGGCCAUUAUGCACUUUUUUCAGUUUCGGCUGAAGCAGGCAUGAUGUUGUAUAGUAGGGGUGUCCAAACUACGGCCCACGGGCCAUCGGUGGCUCACCGCCAUUAUUGAAAUGGCCCGCAAGUUAUUUUACAAAUAAAAUCUAAUUUGGCCCACUAUUAAGAAAUAAAAAAAAUGAUGUUCCUAGUUUUCAUACUGGGUUUCGCUAACACGUAAAACCGCAUCUAAGAAUGGAUCAUCUCCCCCUCCUUUUUCCCCUCUUCAAAACUUUAAUUCUGUACAGUGUACAUUAAUGUUAGCAAGCUUAUAGCUAGAAAUGGCAGCACCAAGGAACUGAAAAACAGAAAGCGAAUGCAGGAGAUUUCAGCCACGCUGGCAAAAA
Molecule: long non-coding RNA, 2548 nt
Organism: Anguilla rostrata (American eel)
Lineage: Eukaryota; Metazoa; Chordata; Actinopteri; Anguilliformes; Anguillidae
Exons: 2
Source: RefSeq, a predicted model, not a curated record